GGCAAGAACUGCAGGAUAUAGGAGUGAGCUUGGCAAGCUACCCCCCUUCCCUUUGCCUGGCGCCCCACCUGCUUCUUCCCUAGAGCUUGCAGGUUUUCCCAGCAACGGCUGGAGGCAGGAGUCCCCAGGGGUGUCUCCAAUCGAUCCUUGCCCCAGGAUUUCCCAGGUCAAGAUCACGUGGUGGCCACCGGCAGGACCGCCAACAUGUUAGAUGCGGUCCCCACUAUUAUUCCGUUUAUAGGACUCGUUUAAAUCAAGGUACUUUAAAAAAAAUGUAACUAUUGUUCUAGGCAAUAACAUCUGCAAAAGCAUGGUUUUGAUGGUGCUAGUUGUAUUUUCCUAAUACAUAUUAGCAUAAAUCGUUAUUACUAGAAUAGCAUAGCACAGUGGUUAGAAGCACAGGUGCUGACUGUGUUUAAAUCCAGGUUCUAAAAAAAUAAAUUAAUUAAAUAAAAUAUUAAAAAUAUAAAUAAAUAAAUAAAUAAAUAGGUAGGUAGAUAGAUAGAUAGAUAAAUAAAUUCAGGUUCUGCACCACCAUCUGGGUGAUCUUGGACAAGUUUGUUAACUGAUCUGUGCCUUGGGCUCAUGGUCUGUGAAAUAAUAACACCUAUUUCAGGAACCACUAUAAGGAAUAAGUUAGUUAAUAUUUGUUAAACAUUUAUACCAUCUAGAACCUUCUACACAAACAACACCUUUGGGAACACUGAAGGCACAGAAGCGUACACCAUCUAUUACCUCGAGAUGGGCUUACACACUUCCUCUGCUUUGCAAUGCUCUGUUGGGCCCUCCCCCUUCAUCCAAACACCAGAAACAAAACCAACGGACACACACUCUCAUCCCUGCUCUCCUGAACGCCGACCUGUCAUAAGGUCCGCCUUAAAUGGAUAUCAGAGUAAUUACAACCACUUAUUGAGCAUUUAUUAUUCUGCAGGCCCUGUGCUCAGUACUUUGAGUACAACUGUCUAACUUCCUCUUUAUUCUUUAUUCUUCCUCUAUGAGGAAGACUCGGGCUUAAAGAGAUUAGGUGAUUUUCCUAAGAUCUUACAACCAGUAGGCAGGCGAGUCGGGAUUCAAACCCAGGUCCACCCACAUAACCCAGCCUAGGCAUAGCCUCCUAAGCCAUGAGACCCCAGCGCCAGAGCCCCUCUUCCAGGGGCCCAUCUCAGCAACCAGCCAGAGAGAGCCUUCUUUCCCCUCCCCUUGCAGGACCUCCCCCACUGGACUUAGUCACCACUUUAUAACAUAAUUACUUACCUGUUUGUCUUUCCCCCUCUGUUAUUCAGAGUAGUCUUUUCUAUGUUAAGCACUUUAGGGAGGAAAUCAUUUUGAAAUUUCCCUAAGUUUGAAAAAGAGUUGCAUUAUACGGAGCUGAGUUUAAUAACCUUUUCCCUACAAUUCCAGUCAUCUUUAUCAACACCAAAUAUAAUAAUGUUUUUUGACACAAAUGUGACUUGAGGGCAACCUUUCUCUGCACAUUACGGGAUGACUGUGAACAAACAGAUGCCGGAGCCCGUCUCUGGAGCUACUAACUCAGAAUCUCUGGGUUAAGGACCAGGAGUCACUCAAGUUUCAGAAUGACUGCCUCAGGCAAUGGCUCGACAUUUGACCCCGCUUCAAACUUCUAGACACUGACUGUGUUUUAGUUCUUGUGUCUGCUUUUCAUGGUGUUCCUGACCUCUCCCACCAUGCAAGUUGACAGCUACCAUUCCUCACUGCCAACUAACAACGCUGCAUGAAUUUACCCUGUUUUAUCUUCUAGCCACCAAUGCUGACGUUUCCAAACUCUGCUUUUAGCUCUGGAACACUUCAUUGAAAACUGGUUUUUAGGCAGAUGCCAAUAAAAAACACACAACCCAGAGCUAUCCCAAUGGAACAUGAGUGGUUGGCCUGGAGUCCAACGCUGGUCUCCUUUAUCGCCACUGACCGUCAUCACUACCACCUAUGGUGGCACUGAGGGCACUGAAUCCCUCCCCAGAUUCCCUACACUUCGUGGAGAGCAUUUUCAAAAUCACAGAAAUAAUGCAACUUUCUGGCAGAUCUUGCCACAACUUCAGAGACAGAUACCUUAUCUUUUAUAAACAUUCAAGAUUGUCAGAAAAAUAUUUUUUCCAUGAGAAUUUGUCAGUGUAGCCCAAAGUCAAGUGUGUAUUCCUUUUUAUUGGAGAAGAUAUCACCGAAUUUAUAAAUAGCCCCUAUACUGUACUUGCAAAGUCACUCCUUAGAGGUAUUUUUUACAUGGAAAAGGAUGGUCUUGUAUUAGUAAUUGGACUACCGUCUACUUUUGAAAGGCUCUCAAAAAAAUCAUGGUCAAGGGAAUUUGCUUUUUCAAAAAAAAAAAAUCUCUCUUCUGUGAAAGAGAAUGUCAGAGCAUCCAGAAAAACUUUGUAACCUUUAAAAUUGUAGAUAUCUUAUAUUGGCCAUGUUCUAAAUAUGUUAGUAUAUGAAUAGUCUUAAAAUAAAUUUCAAGCACUGGUUUUUAAACUUGAAAAAAAAAUUUAAGCCAAGUUUUCUUGCUGCUCUUUUCGGCUUUUUCCUCCAAAACUUAUAAUUUUGAGGUGCAGAAUUGAGGAAGUAAAUAUAACAUAUGUGCACUAGAGGUGGGAGGGAGGAUGUUGUAUGUGUGAUUUCUCUGGUAAAUUAGGACAAGGUUCAAAGUCCUAUCUAUGGUGAGAGAUUGUCAAUGUGACUGAAUAUUGAUAAUUAAUUCAUAUAGGUAAAAAAAAAAGUGUUCAGAGUGUUCCUUAUGCUAAUCUUUCCACUUUUUUUGGCAGCUCUGCAAUUUGUCAAAAUAAAAUUGGAGGGAGAUGUUCAAAAGCAGAUACAAAUAAAGCACAGGCAUACACAUACGGCUAAAAUAUUCAACAGGUCUGGACUAGGGUGAAGAAAGGAAGGCAUCUGAGGUGCAAAAUUUAAGGAAGUAGCUGGGGGAACCCUGAGCGUGAGUCGUCCCUGGCGCUGGCACGACUCUGAGAGCCAGGGCCUCCUUAAAUGUCACACCCUACGUGUCUUACUUGUUUUGCCCUGGAUUGGCCCUAAUAUUUUCAACCUGUUUUCUCAAACUGAUUGUUGCAGUCCUGGGGAGCAAUGCUUCAAGUCAUUUUCAUCCAUGCAUUCAUUCACUCAUUUAUCCUCCAAACAUGUAUCGAGUCCCAGCUACGUGCUACGUGACUACUCAGCUAGGAACCCACUCUGCUUAAAACCGUUUUGACUCUCAGAUGAAAUAAUCUUCAGCCAAAUUUGCGUCAUUCAUUUAAUCAUCUGCGUGUUAUGUGCUGGGGACACUGUGACGACAGGCCAGUCCCUGCUAAAAUAUCUUCCCGUCUGCCAGCCAUCGCCUUCAUACUAUCAUUUUUAUUGGCAUCAGCAUCAUCCUUUACAUGUCUGUUGCCCCAAUUUGAUUAAACUAUUCCAGGACAGGGAAUGGGCGUUAUUCAUCUUUGUUUUUUCAGCCAGCUAACGUUGACUGGGUGCUCACAACUUGCCCUGUAUUUUCUCAGCCCCUUCUAUAGGUUCACUCAAUUCCACCCUGCACCAAGGCUAAGAUUCACCUUUCAUAGGUAAGCAAACGGGAGGCACUAAGUGUCUUUCCUAGGGUCGCACAGCAUGCAAGAGGCCAGGCCAGGAUCCUAUCGAGGAGCCUAGCUCUGGAGUCUACUAUCUCAGCAACUCCACUAAGCCAUCCAGAAAUUAUGACCCAAAGAGCUGCUCCCAGCUCCAAAGGGCACUCAGCCACAGCUUGCUCUUCACCCAUUAUUACCUAGAAAGAUCUAGAGGGCACCAGGGACGCUCUCGGCGAAAUGAGCCUCAACUCCCACCGCCUGGGCAGGCAAGUCAGAUUUUGGGGGACUUCCUGCUUAAUUUCACUUUGUCUAAAUAUAACCAACUAAAAAUAACCCGAAAGCAAAGUGUCUCAGAACCGCCAGAGGAGCAGCAGAAGGCUGCAGGGGACGUGAUGUGAAAGAUUGAUCUCAGCCUCCCUAAAACGCUGCGAUGCUUUCCAACAUCAGCAAGUUGCAUAUUGUGAUGAGAAAACAAAGUUUCCAAUUAUUGAAAUUCCAUAGUGUAUUUAAUUACGCAAUUAUCUUAUUGUAUUAACAAGAGCCGGGGUGCAGCAGCAGCGGUUGCUGAGAUUUUUGCAGUGGAGAAGUACAGAAUUUAUUCUUUCCCUCAGCUGAUUGUUUCUCACGAGUCCAUCCAUUUUUCUGGGAUUUUGGAAAUGAUCCUGUUUCUGAACCGCUUCAUUCAGAAAUCCAAGGCAAAUCGCACCGCACUUUUGCCACUCCGACUUUGAAGCAUGACCCCAGUACAGACUGAGCAUAUUUCAGGGGGAAAUGUCUGCAAAUUCACCUCCUUUUUAUUUUCAUUAAUCAUUUCAGGCUCUUUCCUCUUUUGAAAUUCAAAUAAAUAUAAUGUAAAUAUAAAUAAAAAACACUUAUACAAAUUACAUAUUUUCAGUGAUGCAAACACAAAUACAUUCUUGUUCAUUUGCUUAAUAGGGACUUGUCCCAAAGGAUUCAAGUAUCACGCCGCAAAAGCCAGCGUAUUUCAUCAAAACAUCUGAAAUAGGUAUACUGUGAUAUUAUCAUGCACUUCUAUUUGCCACAGUUACCCUGGAAAAUAUUAAAUGUAAUCAUGCAAAAUUAAACAUUCUAUACAUUUUCUAUUCAUUUUUGAACGUUCUCCCUCUAUUCCAAAAUAGGCUAUCACACUUUCAAGUUUAUAGGGACAAAAAGUGAAUCAAAUGUCUUGUUUCUGAAAGCCUUUUCACUUUUCACUUAGGCCUUUUCAUCUCAGAAU
This 4797-nucleotide long non-coding RNA is filed under the name Canis lupus familiaris (dog). RNAcentral's name for it is "lncRNA (ENSCAFG00000051404.1)". Lineage: Eukaryota; Metazoa; Chordata; Mammalia; Carnivora; Canidae. The record is from RNAcentral.